GCGCGUGUGGUGAAAUUGGUUUGUACACUGGUCUCAGAAGCCAGUGCCGAAAGGGUUGAGGGUUCAAGUCCCUCUGCGCGCACCA
RNAcentral lists this transfer RNA (85 nucleotides) under Undibacterium hunanense. Its description in RNAcentral is "Undibacterium sp. CY18W tRNA-Leu". It matches the Rfam family "tRNA". Rfam says of the family: Transfer RNA (tRNA) molecules are approximately 80 nucleotides in length. Their secondary structure includes four short double-helical elements and three loops (D, anti-codon, and T loops). Lineage: Bacteria; Pseudomonadati; Pseudomonadota; Betaproteobacteria; Burkholderiales; Oxalobacteraceae. The record is from RNAcentral.